UGUAUAAAAGUGUUUAGCACAAAAGAUUUUGAUUCUUUUAGAUUUAAUUAAAUUUAAUAUAUACAA
This 66-nucleotide transfer RNA is filed under the name Psychomyia pusilla. Its description in RNAcentral is "tRNA-Gln". The record is from RNAcentral. Lineage: Eukaryota; Metazoa; Arthropoda; Insecta; Trichoptera; Psychomyiidae.